Molecule: long non-coding RNA, 2233 nt
Organism: Hippocampus comes (tiger tail seahorse)
Lineage: Eukaryota; Metazoa; Chordata; Actinopteri; Syngnathiformes; Syngnathidae
Exons: 2
Source: RefSeq, a predicted model, not a curated record
AAAAAAAAAAAAAAAAAAAGAAAAAAGCAUAAUACAGUUUAAAUGGUACAGUACAAGGCUGUGGACAUAGUCGAAAAAUGAGUCAUGCAUUUCUAAAGAUGCUGUACAGCAAAAGUGUGUGUGAAUGCGCUCACAUAAAGUAAAUGCCACGUAUGUGUAUAACAGUUCAAGUAAUGGCUGGCGAGCAAAAACAAAACUCAAAUUGGUAAGGAGCGAAAUGGACAUGUUUGCCUUACAUUCAACGUAAAAUAAACACAUUAAUUUUGUAUUUGUAGAGAAUUAGGGAAAGGCAGCGCAAUCGAUUGAUUGGUUGUUGAGAGGUCUGUCCAUUGUGAGGCUAUUGUUGAUUAUUUUGAGGAGUCUAAACAUUUGAGAGAAGCCUCUUUCAAACAAAUUUCGCAAAACUGCUGCUUCCUAACCCUAACCCCUUGAAAUCAUUUAGAAGAGAUUAAUCGAUUGCUAAAUUUAGUGCCCAUCCCUAGAAAGAAGUGUAACUCAUCAAAAUAGAACAUAUCAGCAACUCCGCAAAUGCCUAAUCGAUGAAAAGGAGUCCAAAGUUGCAUUUUUUUUGAAGGAGGCAAACCCGGGCUAAAACCAUCAUGGCACUGUUUGUUUGGCAGAUUUUCUCCUUCUAUGUUGAUUCUUUAUGUUUCCCUCAGCGAAAAACAACAAAAGUGCAAGGUGUGUACUCGCAAUAAAAGGUACUUGACUGUUUCACACCUUUCCUUAUAUAAACAGAUAUACAUUCACCCAAAUACACAAGAUUGAGAAGCGUGCACGCACACGCACACCCACCCACACAUACACACGCACGCGCGCACGCACGCACACGCACACACACACGCACACGCACACACGGUGUCAGGCAGUGUUGUUGCCAUUAAGAUGAUGUGGCACAGGGGGUGGCGGUUCGUCGCAAGGUUCGGGCCCAGGUGCCAGUUGGAAAGGGUUACAAAGGAGCGGGGACUGACUGCCUGCUCUUUGGUCCCAUAAAGCACUUGUUUCGAGGCGGGUGACAACUUUGAGGAUUGACGCCGUCUGCUAAGCUACGACCAUAGAGAUGUGCAGCACGUGUGGAAAAAAAAAAGUCUUUGCAGGCCAUGCGGUUCAAAGGUCGUCCAUAGCGUUCGGCGGGAGAAGCGUCUCGGUUUGAAAGUGAAGGAAGACAGGGGAAAAGCGAGGUUUCACCAUUGCAGCAGUUUGUUUGCGUCCAUAUUGUGGAGGGAGGGACGCAUGCUCGCCAAAGACUGGACUGGACAGGAACCACGUAUACAAAAUGUGUUGUCAGCAUAUACAGGUUGAAGAAGGAACACAAGAAGCUUUGUGGAUAGAAACCACGGUUUCCCAAACAGAGGGGAGGGGACCCCAAAACCAGUCGUGGAGUCCAAAGUUCCCCAAGUGUGGUGCGCAAGAGCCAUCCAAAGGAGUGCGAGGCUGAAGAGGUUUUAUCUCGUCUUCUCAACGGUGAAAAAUUAGAGAAGCUAACGUUUUCCAAAAAAAAAGGGGGGGGGGGGGGGGGGUCUGUGCCAAGGUUUGGGAAACCCUGAUCUAAACAGACACAGCGGCCACGUGAACACCAAGACAGACAGCUGACAGACAGCGAAAAACCAACCCAAACCACCCUUGCCCCCAUCCACGUGAAAGACAGACAAACGCAGCCUUAAGGCAAUGCCGAGCCCUUGGAAACGUUGGCACAUGCAUGCGAGUGCAGAAAUGUCUGCAUAUGUGCAUCUCACGUGGAAUGAAAAAGAAAAAUAACCAAAAGGAGGGAUAAAGCGCCCCAAGUUGGCCUUUUUUUCAGCUGCAAAACGUCCGGCGCAACAGAAGCAACGAGGGUGAAGAAAAAUUAUUUAAGUAAAUAAAGGCCUUUGUAAUGUCAGUUGAAAGGUUGAAGAAAUUGGUGAGAAAAAGGGUUAAGAGAAAAUGGCGAGAGAAAUGGAGAGAAACAAUGACAGGCAACAGCAAAAUAAAAAAAUGCUGAAAGUAACGAGGAAAGAAAAAAGCAAUAGGAAAAAUGGGGUAAAGAAGACAUUUGUGUUAGAAAUGGGGGGAACAAAGUAAAUGGCUAAGAGAAACAAGAGACAAAAAAAAUGUUCGUUAGUCACAAAAAAACAAUUGUGAGAAAUCGGGGAAAUACAAAAAAGUUGAGAAACGUCGGAAAGAAAAACGGCAAGAGAAAUGGAGAAGGAAAAAAGCUGCUGCGAGAGGAAAAAAGAUGGUGUGAGAAACCGGG